Molecule: ribosomal RNA, 445 nt
Filed under: uncultured bacterium
Lineage: Bacteria
Description: partial 16S ribosomal RNA
Rfam family: Bacterial small subunit ribosomal RNA
Source: RNAcentral
GUGAGGAAUAUUGCGCAAUGGAGGCAACUCUGACGCAGCCAUGCCGCGUGCAGUAAGAAGGCGCUACGCGUUGUAAACUGCUUUUAACCGGGAAGAAACCCCAGGACGUGUCCUGGGUUGACGGUACCGGAGGAAUAAGCACCGGCUAACUUCGUGCCAGCAGCCGCGGUAAUACGAAGGGUGCAAGCGUUAUCCGGAUUCAUUGGGUUUAAAGGGUGCGUAGGCGGAGCGUUAAGUCAGUGGUGAAAUCCUGCAGCUUAACUGUAGACUUGCCAUUGAUACUGGAGCUCUUGAGUGCGCUUGAAGUGGGCGGAAUGUGCCGUGUAGCGGUGAAAUGCUUAGAUAUGGCACAGAACACCAAUUGCGAAGGCAGCUCACUAAGGCGAUACUGACGCUGAGGCACGAAAGCGUGGGGAUCGAACAGGAUUAGAAACCCUUGUAGUCC